AUAGACAUGGCUGGAUACGUUAUUGAUAGCGAUUCAGAUGAUAAACUUAUCUAAAUCUAGCUGUCCAACAAUUUUAAAUGAGAUACUUAUCAUGGGAUGCACCAAAAUGCCAUGAAGAGAACUCUUCUACUUUUUCAAAAUAUAUUCUAGAGCAGACUAUUGAAUUAAUAUAAUUAUAGAUAGAUUAUAAUAAUAGGAAACAUAUAUGACAUGUGGCAUACAGACAAGUUUACUAGAUGGAUCUUUCAUCAUUUUGGAAAUACAAUAUUCCCUGCGAAACAAAUCACAGAAACAUUCUACAAUCUUAUUUUAUAUAAUAAAUACCAAUAAAUGUAAAUACAAAAUCACA
Biomphalaria glabrata is the source of this 349-nucleotide long non-coding RNA. RefSeq lists it as uncharacterized. The record is from RefSeq and is a predicted model, not a curated record. The transcript has 2 exons. Lineage: Eukaryota; Metazoa; Mollusca; Gastropoda; Planorbidae.